GGGGUUGGGUGUGGAUGCAAUUAUUUAUAACCUUCCCCUUUUAAUCUGAGCCAUCCAUCAUGAUUUAAUCUAGGUCGUCCGAUCGCGAUUAAAUUAGAAAUAAAUCUUGGUCGUCCAUCUCGAUGCGAUCUGAGCCGUCCCUGCGUGAUCAAAUCUGGGCCGUCCGCACGCGUGAGAUCUGAGUCGUCCAUGCGCGCUUUUGAUCUGGCCGUCUGUGCGCGCGGGAACGGAUCUGGGCCGUCCAAUCGCGCACAAGUGGAUCGCCCACAUGUCUCCGU
Molecule: long non-coding RNA, 278 nt
Filed under: Carica papaya (papaya)
Lineage: Eukaryota; Viridiplantae; Streptophyta; Magnoliopsida; Brassicales; Caricaceae
Description: long non-coding RNA (CPAP_LNC001283)
Source: RNAcentral